Spinacia oleracea (spinach) is the source of this 1658-nucleotide long non-coding RNA. RefSeq lists it as uncharacterized. NCBI's taxonomy places the organism in Eukaryota, Viridiplantae, Streptophyta, Magnoliopsida, Caryophyllales, Amaranthaceae. The record is from RefSeq and is a predicted model, not a curated record. The transcript has 3 exons.
CCUUCAAUUUCCCGUGCGGCGCAUCAGCUCUCAACCCUACCCCCAUUUUCUUCAACCUAAAAUAGUAAACCCCCAAUUUCUCUCAUAUUUUCGCUCUAACUUUUACCCCAAUUUCUUCAAUUUUCUUACCGGAAUCUGCUUCAAAUAUGUAUCAACCAAACCAUUUAGCAUAAUGGAACCAAAAAAUUCAUGAAAUAAAACCCUAGAAAGUUCAAAUUUCAAAUUCGAGUGAAGUAACGAAUGGAUCGAAACGACGAACAAGAGAUUCAGCGUAAAGUGACACACGAAAGAACAAGGUCAUUAAUAGUGGAUUAUCUAACAAUUUAAGCAUUUUUUCGUUAAUUUUGUUUAUAUUUGUUGAUUUUCUUUUUAUUUUCGUUUUUUCAAAAAAUAAUGAUUUCGAUUUGAUAUAUAAGGAUUUAUAUUUGUUGAUUUUCUUUUUAUUUUCGUUUUUUCAAAAAAUAAUGAUUUCGAUUUGAUAUAUAAGGAUCUUAAUUUCUUUUGUGUUGUGAUUUAUAAUGAUAUUUGUUGAUAUUUCGAUUUUCGAUUUUCGAUUUUUCAAAAAAUAAUGAUUUCGAUUGGAUUUUGGUGAAGAAGAUGAUGAUGGAGGAGAGAGAAAGGCAUAUGGGGUUUCAUACGCUUUAUACCUCACCGGUGCCUAGCCCAACAUUUUAUCCAAUUCUACCCAUUCUAACCAUCUCACUCACUUCACCUUUUCUGAUUUCAUAUGACAAACCAAAAGCGAGAAAUACAAAAAGAAAUAACUACCACUACAAGAAAAUGCGUAGUUUCCGACUGAUUUUACCGACCGCCACAAAUUUAGACGGUAAAAUAAAAUUUACCAACCGCUAAAAGCGUGGUCAGUAUAAAUUAAAUUUACCAAAUGCAAUAUAACAGUCGCUAUUUUUAACGUCCGUUUUUAAACAAUAAAGACAAUUACGCAGACGGUAAAAAAAAAUACCGACCGUUUUUAAAAGAAAAUUUACCGACUGCAUUUUACCAUAUACUGACCGUCAAUUGUAUUUUUCCUUUUUUUUAAUUUAAUAAAGCCAAAUUUUAAGAAAUACCCUAAAAUCUACCCUAAUCCCCACCCAACCCCUCCUCAGCCGCCCAACCUUUUCUCUCACCUACCUCAUCUCUUUCUCUCACCUACGGUCCUUUCUCACCCACCCCCCUCUCUCUCUCUCUCAACAUCUUCAUCUCCAUUUUUUUUUUCGUUUCAUGUAACCUAACAUAAUAAAAAACAUCAAAAUAAAAACAAUAAAAAAGAAAUUGGAAGAACUACAAAUUCGAAGAACAGGGAAUUACAAAAAGUCAUUCUUCGUUUGUCCUCGGAGAUCUUCGAAGUUUCCAACUUAAAGGAAGGGAGGGAUCAACGCAAAGUUGAAGGAUUUAAUCUUUGAAAAAGGAAAAAUCGGAAUGGCAGGAAAGCAAGUAGAUUCGGCGACUUAAAUGUUGGAUCUGGGCUUUAAUCAUGUCCUUUGUUGAUAGCACGAGCCGUAGAUUUGAUGAUUUGGGAAGAACAAGGAAAGAAAGAAAUUCGAGGAUACAUAGUCUGAGGUUUAUGUUUAGUUUUAGGUCUAUUUUUACUCAUCUUUGUAAUUGUAAGUGAAUUAUUUCAUGAUAAUAAAAUUUCUUUUUCGCUACUUUGCAUUUGC